GCAAACUCGGGCAGGUGGGAUACACCAUGUUGAGUAACUUGUCAGUGAGUUUGAAGGGCGUGUCUACCCCAGGCAUGCAAAGAUGAUCUCUGGUGGAAGGAGCAGAUGAGAACAAUUUGUUCCAACAGCCAUGAAAGCAGCUGAAGCAGCCCUGUGGAGUGUUAAGAGUUUGGCAAGGUCAUCAUCCACUACAUCCCAGGCCAUUGCUGUCAUCCUGACUUUCAUCCUGACCCUGGACUUGGAGGAUGACUGUGGAAGAGAACAUGAGGCUGACGACUUUGUGUAACUCUGCCUAACUUAAGAUCCAAUUUAUGCAUGAGUCAAAAGAUACCAGUAAUGAUGCCAUUUUGGUCCUCUUCAAGUAGGAAGGCCAGCCACCACUACAGCCAUCAUAAUAAUAGGUCUUCCAAGUCCAGUGACAAGAAAAAGGUUAGCAUGACUUAUUUUGGCCCAGGAUGCAACGGAUCACCUCAAAGUCAUCUUCAAUAUCUGAUCAAGCUGUAAGGACUUCAAGAAUCUGCUUCAGCCUUCAUGGCCAUCAGAACAAGUUUUAUUCCACUCAUUCUUCCAGGGGAAGUCUUCCCAUACUUGAGGUAGACACCCCCUAACUCACCAAUGGGUGUGAGAUCUGUCAGUUACCCUCAGCCUGGUGUACAUCUGCCCAGAUGGUUUUACUGUGGUGUGGCCACGCUGCAUGUUUCAGCUUCUUGGAGCCAUGGGUGAGAGUUGAGUGCCAGAAGGACACCAGAAGUGGAUGAGCAACCCUGAAAAGGGCUGAUUUUGUCAUCCAAUGCAAUUACUAUACCUGCUAACCUUGUGCCAUGCACAAGUUUGAUAAACAUGUUUUUCUUAUUUCUUUCCCUGAGAUUGAUUAAAAUAUAAAACCGAAGAAGACUGGGGUCAGAGUUCUGUGGCAUGCCCCUUGGAGAACUUUUUCCACGGAAAUUGAUCAUCCACUAACCUACCCAGCAGCCUCAUUUGCUUUUCCCCCCCUGAAAACAGGCUACUGAGCAGUGAUUCAGAGAUGAAUGUUUCCAGGGCCAGGGCUACCUUGUGGACUUGGGAGGACCAAUGCCAUUGAGAGAUCUUGGACCUGACAGCAAAAGGUGCCUCCUAUUACUAUGUCUCUUCUCAGAGGAGAAGAUGACCACCAAAAGGAAGAUGAGCCAUGUAGGUCUGGUUUCCAGGAGAUAUAGAACUUCAAUGAAUGGC
Molecule: long non-coding RNA, 1212 nt
Filed under: Monodelphis domestica (gray short-tailed opossum)
Lineage: Eukaryota; Metazoa; Chordata; Mammalia; Didelphimorphia; Didelphidae
Description: lncRNA (ENSMODG00000046834.1)
Source: RNAcentral